This 334-nucleotide unclassified non-coding RNA is filed under the name soil metagenome. RNAcentral's name for it is "partial contains 5.8S ribosomal RNA, internal transcribed spacer 2, and large subunit ribosomal RNA". The stretch from base 3 to 119 matches the Rfam family "5.8S ribosomal RNA", at positions 38 to 154 of the family's 154-position model. The record is from RNAcentral.
GAGAAGAACGUAGCGAAAUGCGAUAAGUAAUGUGAAUUGCAGAAUUCAGUGAAUCAUCGAAUCUUUGAACGCACAUUGCGCCCAUUAGCAUUCUAGUGGGCAUGCCUGUUCGAGCGUCAUUUCAACCCUUAAGCCCUGUUGCUUAGCGUUGGGAGCCUACAGUACUGUAGCUCCCCAAAGUUAGUGGCGGAGUCGGUUUCACACUCUAGACGUAGUAAUUUUUUCUCGUCUGUAGUUGAGCCGGUCCCCUGCCGUAAAACACCCAAUUUAUCAAGGUUGACCUCGGAUCAGGUAGGAUUACCCGCUGAACUUAAGCAUAUCAAUAAGCGGAGGA